Molecule: long non-coding RNA, 332 nt
Filed under: Eucalyptus grandis
Lineage: Eukaryota; Viridiplantae; Streptophyta; Magnoliopsida; Myrtales; Myrtaceae
Description: long non-coding RNA (EGRA_LNC006846)
Source: RNAcentral
UUCAAUUGCUUGUUCCCAUGACAAUUAAUAUCAAAGCUAGGCUUGACUAAGUUGAAGCGAAUCGAUGUCGGCAAAAAUAGGAAAAGUGAAAAUCAACAAAUUUGAUGGGAAUGAUUUUAGUUUAUGGAAGAUGCAAAUUGAGAAUUAUUUGUACCAUAUCAAUGCCAACUGAAUAAAAGAUUAAAAUUCAGCAUUGCUUUAUUGUGAACCCAAUUAGGACUGUAGGAGGGCUUGUGGUGUUAUGGAAUGAAGUGGUAUCAAUUAUGGUGAAUUCUUUCAUUUUGGAGUACGUUAAUAUUACAUGUAGAGAAGGGCAGAGGAAGAUAGUGAUG